This is a long non-coding RNA of Astatotilapia calliptera (eastern happy), 1756 nucleotides long. NCBI's taxonomy places the organism in Eukaryota, Metazoa, Chordata, Actinopteri, Cichliformes, Cichlidae. The record is from Ensembl.
CAAAAGAAGCCCUUUAUUUCACAAGCUGAAUUGUAAAUGUAUGGAAAUAUUCAAGUAACAGAAGGGGAAAAACAAAACAAACAUUUCCUCAAGUUCAAAAAGAAAUCCCUCUCCCUUCAUUACAGAAUCAGAGACAGUGUUUGAAUCAUACUGAGACAUUUAUUUAUGCAUGUAUGUUUUUUUUCCAUUUAGACUGAAUGCAAAUACAGCAAAUACACACCACCAAGCACUAGGGGGAUGUAGAGCAAAAGGCAGUGGAGACUUGGAGGUGGAGGCUUUACAGCAGAGCAGUUUGAUGGUCUUCACAGAGGGAAAAAAACUCACAUCCGUGAUCCAUACUGUGCUGGUUUUCUAAAGUUAAUGGGGCCAAAAACGUUCGUCAUCUCGUUGAGGACCAACAUUUCAUAUUCAGAGAGACUCCUUUUCUCGCUGCCUUCAAAGUCAUAUUCUUUACAAGACAGUAAUUCGCUUUCGAGACAGCUCCUCUUCACCUUGGGUGGAGAAGAGAGGUCGUUCCUCCAUCUGCCUCGUGGUGAUUAAGAGCACUUUCAGGCGUGCACUGAUAAUUGCUCCCGCGGCUCUUAACAUAAGGCACCCAUUCGUGUGACAUUUCUAUUGCACCGCUGUCCUUCGGGUUCUACUUACUGCCUCGUCCCUCACAUAAAAACACAUCUCUGCUCCUGUCAGUUUCUACAAAGUGUACAGGCUAAUACACAGAAGUACAGAUAUUUAUAUAUAAAUACAGGUCCUCCAUCCUCCAACUCACCACCUCAUUACACAGCUUCUCUCCCGAUGCCUACAGUUGUUCUUUUCCAUCAGUAGUGUGUCCAGACCUACAGCAAAGACAGGCUUUCCCCCCAGCAGGUUACAGUACAUGUGCUGCAAAUCAUUGCAAGCAAGUGCCUUCUCAACAGUCCAGUGUCAUAUGACCAGGUAAAAUAAAACAGAGCAAAACGGAAUAUACAAAUCAUCAGUUUUCUCCUGUUUUCCACAGACACCACCAACAGCAGGUCAACAGGUUCAAAUCAGGGCAAAGGGAGGAUUAGAUGAAGAGGGCAACAAAGCCAUGGUCACAAGUGUUGGAAAGAUUCCUUCGAAUGUCAUUUUACAACUCCGUGUUGUUGGUUUUGGUUACGCUUUGAUACACACGACAGUUCACAGUUUUCUCCCUUUAGAGGACACAGAAUAAGAAGAAUGUCUGCUUAUUGCAAAUCUCACAAGCAGUGCGCGUCACUGCUUCAGGUAACAGUAGCACGAAAAGUUAACAGUGACAGCGGGGACACAGGCUAACACGGGUCGGGCUCCGUUAGAGGGAUUUGUAUGUUUGAUAGCUGAUGCAUAGUAUAGUAUUAAAGGUCACCCAGAAUCGACGGAUAUACAAUAUGAGACAACCAGCACGCUGUGUGGGUGGAGGCCACUUAACGCAUGACAUACUAUACGCUUUGUCUGUGAUGUGAAAAAGGGAGGAGCCGACCACUCCUAUAAAUACAAACUCAUAAACCACAACUUCAAAAGGUUAACCUGAAAACAAAACAAAAAAAUGAGAGAGAAAAAGUACCCUUGUUAAUCUUGUGUCUUGAACUCUUCAGGCUGUGUCUGCAAACAUGCGCACAAUCCAAGAACCAGUCGCUAUUUAAAGAGCUGCUAUGAUCAGUGGUUUUACAUAACAAGCUAAUCAAAAGAAAAAAACUGACUCUGUAGUUUCCUUAGCAUUUUAGCCCCUUUCAGCUCACUGUUUUGGUUCACUCUUACACCU